RNAcentral lists this ribosomal RNA (886 nucleotides) under Acrobeloides sp. Acro-A. Its description in RNAcentral is "SSU rRNA". It matches the Rfam family "Eukaryotic small subunit ribosomal RNA", at positions 61 to 950 of the family's 1831-position model. Lineage: Eukaryota; Metazoa; Nematoda; Chromadorea; Rhabditida; Cephalobidae. The record is from RNAcentral.
CGGUUCCUGACCCGGAAUGAGAUUGAUUGCCGCGAAUGGCUCAUUAUAACAGCUAUAAUUUACUUGAUCUUGACACAAUCCUACUUGGAUAACUGUGGUAAUUCUAGAGCUAAUACAUGCAUUAAAGCUCUGACCUCACGGGAAGAGUGCAUUUAUUAGAACAAAACCAAGCGGCUUCGGCUGUUUCUGGUUGACUCAUAGUAACUGAGCUGAUCGCAUGGUCUUGCACCGGCGACGUGUCUUUCAAGUAUCUGCCGUAUCAACUUUCGAUGGUAGUGUAUCUGACUACCAUGGUGAUCACGCGUAACGGAGAAUAAGGGUUCGGCUCCGGAGAGUUCGCCUGAGAAAUCGCGAACACAUCUAAGGAAGGCAGCAGGCGCGAAAAUUACCCACUCUCAGCACGAGGAGGUAGUGACGAAAAAUAACGAGACCGUUCUCUUAUGAGGCCGGUCAUCGGAAUGGGUACAAUUUAAACCCUUUAACGAGUAUCUAUGAGAGGGCAAGUCUGGUGCCAGCAGCCGCGGUAAUUCCAGCUCUCAAAGUGCAUAGAAUUAUUGCUGCGGUUAAAAAGCUCGUAGUUGGAUCUGUGCCAUAGGACGUGGUCCACCUUCGGGUGCGUACUACGCUCCUAGGCUUUUUGCUGGUUUUCCCGUCGUAGCCUUCACUGGUUGCGGCGGGUGGCUGGCGAGUUUACUUUGAGAAAAUCAGAGUGCUCAAUACAGGCGUAUCGCUUGAAUGAUUGUGCAUGGAAUAAUAGAAAAGGAUUUCGGUCCUCUUUUAUUGGUUUUGUGGACUGAGAUAAUGGUUAACAGGGACAAACGGGGGCAUUCGUAUCUCUGCGUGAGAGGUGAAAUUCUUGGACCGUAGAGAGACGCCUACACAGAAA